GACGAACGCUGGCGGCGUGCUUAACACAUGCAAGUCGAACGGAAAGGCCCUGCUUUUGUGGGGUGCUCGAGUGGCGAACGGGUGAGUAAUACGUGAGUACCCUGCCCUUGACUGUGGGAUAACUUCAGGAAACUGGGGCUAAUACCGGAUAGGAGCUCCUGCUGCAUGGUGGGGGUUGGAAAGUUUCGGCGGUUGGGGAUGGACUCGCGGCUUAUCAGCUUGUUGGUGGGGUAGUGGCUUACCAAGGCUUUGACGGGUAGCCGGCCUGAGAGGUUGACCGGCCACAUGGGGACUGAGAUACGGCCCAGACUCCUACGGGAGGCAGCAGUCGGGAAUAUUGCACAACGGGCGGAAGCGUGAGGCAGCAACGCCGCGUGCGGGAUGACGGCCUUCGGGUUGUAAACCGCUUGCGCCUGUGACGAAGCGUGAGUGACGGUAACGGGUAAAGAAGCACCGGCUAACUACGUG
RNAcentral lists this ribosomal RNA (468 nucleotides) under uncultured bacterium. RNAcentral describes it as "partial 16S ribosomal RNA". It matches the Rfam family "Bacterial small subunit ribosomal RNA", at positions 28 to 507 of the family's 1533-position model. The record is from RNAcentral.